Molecule: long non-coding RNA, 1025 nt
Filed under: Parus major (Great Tit)
Lineage: Eukaryota; Metazoa; Chordata; Aves; Passeriformes; Paridae
Description: lncRNA (ENSPMJG00000000364.1)
Source: RNAcentral
CAUGAAUAUAUAUAAAUAAAGUAUUUUACAUUUGAUUGGAAACUCUUUUCUUUAAAUAUUUCAUUGUGACAGAAUUUCAAUAAUUGCAUUAAAAUGUUGGACCUUAAAGUCCUCACAGGUAUUUAAAAACACCAGGGGAAAAAAAAAGUAUAAUGAAGUAACACUCUAUUUCUUCUUUCCUUUCUGCCUUUCUUCCUCCAUUUUCUGAACAAUGAAAUAAAUACAACAUCUGCUGCAGAGCUACAGAACCACAGCAUGGCUGAGGUUGGAAGGCAUCUCUGAAGGUUGUCUUUUCAACCCCCUGCCCAAGCAUGGCCACCUAGAGCUGGCUGUCCAGGACUCUAUUUAGAUAUGUUUUCAAUAUCCCCAAGGAUGAAGACUCCACAACCUUCACGGUCAAUCUGUGCUGGGGCUCAGUCACCCUCACAGUAAGCUCUGAGGUUUAUAAAUAUACAGAUACUGUAUAUAUUGUCAGGAGAAAUUUACAUGGCUGAGAAUAGAUAAGUUUCAUUGCAGGAUUUUUUAAAAAUCUGCUUUCAUCUGUCCUUUAGCAGAAAGAAUAUCCCUGGGUUCUUUCUUCAGUGUGUAUAUUUUCUGUGACUCACAAAAUUUAGCUGCAAUUUUGCUGUGAAAAAAAAGCUGAACAUGACCACCUUCCUCUUGGUUUCUGAAGUCUCAUUUUUUUAGCUGAAUAGCCCCUUAUGGUGUUGGAAUUUGUGAAUUCAUAAGAUGUCUGCCUGUCUGCCUCUUUAGUGAGUAAAGGGGGGACAAGACUGCCUGAGAUGCUUUCUGUAGGCUCAGAACUGUUGCAACUGUAGGGAGACAGUGAUUAAAAUUACAAAGGUCUUCAGUCACUUGGUUCAGAGGACAAGGUGGUCUAACAGCAUGCAAGGAACCAUGCCGCUGACAACAAGAGAAAAGAGAAGGAUGCAGAGAAAUGAACCAGCAGGAAGUUCAGAACCAUGUUGGAAUAGCUAUUGAUCUCUCUUGAGACGAGAAGACAGCAUUUACUUAGGGUAGUGAAA